AGUUUGAUCAUGGCUCAGGACGAACGCUGGCGGUGUGCUUCACACAUGCAAGUCGAACGGGGUAGCAAUACCUAGUGGCGGACGGGUGAGUAACGCGUGGGAAUCUGCCCUGGGGUGGGGAGUAGCAGACCGAAAGGUCUAUUAAUACCGCAUAUGCCGAAAGGUAAAGGAAGUAAUCCGCCCGAGGAUGAGCCUGCGUCCGAUUAGCUAGUUGGUGGGGUAAAAGCCUACCAAGGCUACGAUCGGUAGCUGGUCUGAGAGGAUGAUCAGCCACAAUGGGACUGAGACACGGCCCAUACUCCUACGGGAGGCAGCAGUGGGGAAGUUUUACGCAAUGGGCGAAAGCCUGACGUAGCGACACCGCGUGAGCGAAGAAGCCCUUUGGGGUGUAAAGCUCUGUCGGCUGGAACGAAAAAAAUGACGGUACCAGCAAAGGAAGCAUCGGCUAACUACGUG
Molecule: ribosomal RNA, 456 nt
Filed under: uncultured bacterium
Lineage: Bacteria
Description: bacterial SSU rRNA
Rfam family: Bacterial small subunit ribosomal RNA
Source: RNAcentral